Long non-coding RNA from Sapajus apella (tufted capuchin), 1945 nucleotides. RefSeq lists it as uncharacterized. The record is from RefSeq and is a predicted model, not a curated record. The transcript is spliced from 2 exons. NCBI's taxonomy places the organism in Eukaryota, Metazoa, Chordata, Mammalia, Primates, Cebidae.
CUGAGAUCAUGCCACUCUGCACUCCAGCCUGGGCGACAGCACAAGACUCACUCUCAAAAAAAGAAUCAGCUGGAGUUGCUCAGUGUCAUGCUCAUUGCAUGUUCUUUUGCGUAAUGACUUUGGGAUGCCUUGACUGCAGCAGGAACCAACAUCCUGGCUUUAUCAGUUGUGCUAGCUAUUUCUCCAACUGUGAGCCUCUGCAGGAAGGAACCAGUUCUCAUCCCACACACAAUGCUGAACUCACGGCCAGGUACCCUAAAUGUGCUGAAUCUUAAGGAUGAGCUUUCCAGAGUCAGGAGGCUAGAAGAUGAAGACCAUCAUUCUCAUUUUCAAAACAUCACAUGAGCAGAAAGGGUCAUGCUGAUGACCUGAAACUUUUCCCUGUUCAAGCUGCCCUCCCUUGGCACAUGACAGAAAAAAGUAACAACAGGACUCAAUCCCAUCCCUUCAGAGGAAGCCUUUAUUGUAACAUAAAAUACACAAUUUUGUGACUGCCCCAAAUUGUACACAAUACUUUUUUUUUGGUGGCUAAAUAACUAAUCUGCCUUGACACUAAAAUAUGUAUCUGAAAUAAUUUCACAAAGUUUUAAAAAGAAAAAUUAUAAAAAGUAUACUUUCAUUUGACUUUAGUCUCCCCCUACCCCCUACAAAACCCUGCACGUACCACACACGGAGCUGAAACAUUUGAGGACUUGUGUGUGUCUGGGAGUGGGUGGGAGGCUGAUGGGGUGGAGACACACCACUACCUUUCCUCGUGGUUUGCAGGGGCAGGGAGAAGAGAGAAGAUAGAACGCAGAGAGCAAACACACCUUUUGUCAAAAAUCUCCCCUCUCUAGGCACAGCCUCGGUAACACCGAGGACAGCUCACAGCUGGAGGAGCAGGGGAACCCCACGCUCAGCGAAGCCACACUCAUCGCCUAUCUUCCUCCCAGACCCAGUGCCAACUGCAAAGUGAGCUCCAAGCAGCCCGGGACUGUCUGGCUGCUCUGUUCUCAGCAGGCCCUGGGCUGGGUCCACUCCCAACCUGAAAGUGUAUCAAGUCCGACCCUCCCAGGGUUGCUGGAACAGAGUGGGAGGUCUCAGAGGCAGGUGCCGGUGAAGAAUCUAUGGGUGGUGGGCAGGGAGGGUCUCUCUAAGCCUGGGUCCCUGAGCAGUCAGGCUCUCCUUCUCGUCCUUCCCCGACGCACCCAUCCUUGUGGUGGGAAUUUUCAAAUCCUGGGGGGGAGGGAGGGGCUGAGAGGGAUGGGGGUCGCCUGCUCCUCAUAGGCAGAGAGACUCUACUGCCUGGCAUAGAAAAAUAAAUCAAUAUAUGAAACCAAGCCAAGGCAAACGGCAGCUUUAAAAAAGUCAUCUUCCAAUAAAUAAUUUACUAUAGAGGAAUAUUUUUCUUUAACAGCAAAACACUGAUAAGUUCAGAAGUUAUUUUUGUAAAAAAAAUAUGUUUAUUUACUCUCAUGUAUAAAAAUAAGGUUUUUGGGGCCAUCCUCUCCUGGGGGUGGUCACGCCCUUCUUUUGGAGAGGGGGCCGAGGGUGACCUUUUAGGCCUUACCCGUAAGCUAUUGUAAUACACCUGCUCACCCCCCUCGUCCCCCACUGCCUGCCGUAACCCAUUUCUUCCUUCUGGUGUAAAGCUACAGAAAAAAUUGUGGAACAAAAUUAUACUGAGGCUUUUUUGUUUUGUUUCGUUUUAUACUUAAUCAAACUCCCCAGCAAACCUGGUGACUGCAUUUCCCCACAUCACCAACACCCGGCACCCAGGACCCCACACAGGGUGACCCGUUGAGCAGGCUGGCCUAGGUUCAGCCCACACUGCUGCCACCUACUCUUCAGUAUGCCAUGUAUGAACAGAAAAGGGGAAUGUGGUGACCUGGGUUUGGAUGACCCAGGGCCCAAUGCAGAAGAAUUCUGAUGUCAAAUUAGGGUGGGAAGGGGAAAACAAAAAAGA